This is an RNA transcript of Oryza sativa Japonica Group (Japanese rice), 1544 nucleotides long. It is a transcript of the gene named 2-oxoglutarate-Fe(II) type oxidoreductase hxnY, with no coding region annotated. NCBI's taxonomy places the organism in Eukaryota, Viridiplantae, Streptophyta, Magnoliopsida, Poales, Poaceae. The record is from RefSeq and is a predicted model, not a curated record.
CGCUGGACGCGGGCAGCAGCAGCAGCAAAGUCAGCGGCAACCAGCAACCGCUUCUGUAGGAGAGGCAGCGCCGCGGGCAGCCGGCCGGAGAUGGCCGGCGCCGGCGCCGGCGAGAGCCUGGACCUCCCCGUGGUGGACCUAGCGUCCUCCGACCUCGCCGCCGCCGCCAAAUCCGUCCGAAAGGCUUGCGUGGAGUACGGAUUCUUCUACGUGGUCAACCAUGGAGCCGAGGGAUUGGCGGAGAAGGUGUUCGGGGAGAGCAGCAAGUUUUUCGAGCAGCCGCUGGGGGAGAAGAUGGCGCUGCUGAGGAACAGAAACUACCUGGGGUACACCCCGCUUGGCGCCGAUAAGCUCGACGCCUCGUCCAAAUUCAAAGGAGAUCUCAAUGAAAAUUACUGUAUCGGACCUAUCAGAAAAGAAGGUUAUCAGAAUGAUGCUAACCAAUGGCCUUCUGAAGAGAAUUUCCCAUGUUGGAAGGAGACAAUGAAGCUAUACCAUGAAACUGCACUUGCUACUGGUAAAAGGAUACUCUCUCUAAUUGCUCUGAGUUUGAAUCUCGACGUUGAAUUCUUUGACUGCCCAGUGGCCUUUCUUCGGUUAUUGCACUACCCAGGUGAAGCUAACGAGUCCGAUGAUGGCAAUUAUGGUGCAUCAGCUCACUCAGACUAUGGAGUACUAACACUUGUAGCAACAGAUGGCACUCCUGGGCUGCAGAUAUGCAGGGAGAAGGAUAGGUGCCCCCAGCUUUGGGAAGACGUUCAUCACAUUGAAGGGGCCCUGAUUGUUAAUAUCGGCGAUUUGCUACAAAGGUGGACUAAUUGUGUUUUCAGGUCUACACUGCAUCGCGUUGUUGCAGUUGGUAAAGAGCGAUACUCUGUGAGUAACUGAGUAUAACUAACACCUGAAAUCAGAAAUUCAUAACUGAGUUUUAGCUCCUAUUGAACUCAUGUUGUAAAGUCGGGUGAACUUCUUAUUGGUGGCUUUCUUUCUUCACACAAACCCUGAUUUAGUGGUUCAAUGCUUGGAAAGCUGCUGCAGUGAGGCAUGCCCACCGAGGUUCCCACCUAUAAGGAGCGGCGACUAUUUGGAAGACCGAUUGAGGGCUAGAUACAAAUAAUCCUACGUUGGCUGCGUACAUCCAUGUUGGAUGUAAAGGCCAGGUUUUAAUCCAUUUUCUGAAAAACACAAAUAAUCCUACGUUUUUAAAUGUGUAAAGCUUAAGAUUAGUGAACUUCAGUGAGCAGCUAUUCCGUUGAGAUGGACGGAAACAUCUUGAUCUUAUAUGUAGCCCAUCUGCUGUUGCUGAUUUCUCGCGUGUGUUAAUACUAGCUUUACUUAUGAGCAAUCAUGUCAGCAUCUGGUGAAAUUUGUAACCGCCUUCGAGUGUCAACAUAUAUUUUUGCUCUUCACUGUUUUCAGGAAGACUGGACAUAACCUCCACUGUAUUUUCUGUUGCCAAAACAUUGGUAUAGAGUUUUUUGUAUAAAGAUUCUUAUGAUGCUUUCACGAUUAAGGAAGACACAAAUAAAGUAACUUUGCUCUCA